This 556-nucleotide long non-coding RNA is filed under the name Vigna radiata. Its description in RNAcentral is "long non-coding RNA (VRAD_LNC004324)". Lineage: Eukaryota; Viridiplantae; Streptophyta; Magnoliopsida; Fabales; Fabaceae. The record is from RNAcentral.
CAUAAACAUAGAAAUCAUGAACCUGAAGGAGAUGAUCUUUAGAAACGAUGAAGAUUAGGUUAGAGUGAAAAAUGAAGAUAUAGAUACAAAGAUAGAUGAAGAUUAGGUUAGAGUAAAAGAGGAAGGAGAGGAACUAGGAAGUAUUAGGAAUGGAGGCUCAGACAUGAGAAAAAAAGAGCGCAGAGAAAGUAAUCUGAUUGAAGAGAUAAGGUGAAAAUUAGAGAGAUAAGAUGAACAUACCAGAGAGAUUGAAGUGAUAAAAACCGUUUCAGCACAGUCCUCGUCACCUCGAUCACGACACUCAACCCAAACAGGAGAAGACACAAAGUAGAAACGAACACAAACAUGCAACGAGAAAAAUUGUGAUGAAGGCAACAAAAGAAAUGUAAGUGCUUAGGAAAAAGGGAAUUAGGGCUUAGGAAAUUAGAAAUGAAAUGCAGGAAAAGCUUUUCUAAUAUUAAAGACCAUCAAAAAAUUAUUCUAAAAUAAAAGUAUAUUUUAGGGAUGGUUUUUGUUAGUAACCGUCAAAAUAUUUUUUUUUUUAAAAAAGUACGUG